AAUUGCAAAAAAGGAGGCAAAAUCCAGGAACCAGAGAUGAAAAUAAACCAGAAAAGGAAAAGAAAUAAUAAUUACAGCAAUUAAAACGCGGGUUUAAGUAGACUAGCCAAAAAGAAGCUAGAAGAAUAUAGAAGCAUGGGAUUUACCGAUUCAUUGGUCAAAAUCCAGGAUCUACUUACGUUUUUGGGUCUUGUUGUAAGGAAGGACAGGUGAAUAUUUACAGGCAGCAAUGGCGGC
RNAcentral lists this long non-coding RNA (237 nucleotides) under Gossypium barbadense (sea-island cotton). RNAcentral's name for it is "long non-coding RNA (GBAR_LNC014969)". The record is from RNAcentral. Lineage: Eukaryota; Viridiplantae; Streptophyta; Magnoliopsida; Malvales; Malvaceae.